RNAcentral lists this long non-coding RNA (1370 nucleotides) under Oncorhynchus mykiss (rainbow trout). RNAcentral describes it as "lncRNA (ENSOMYG00000075966.1)". Lineage: Eukaryota; Metazoa; Chordata; Actinopteri; Salmoniformes; Salmonidae. The record is from RNAcentral.
CCCGCUACUUCAGUUAACUGAGGAGUAGCCAGUUUCUGUUCUGCUUGCUUGCUUUUUUACAACUCGGUGUGAAAGAGUUCAACACGCUGACAGCAGCUGCCUCUGUUCAACUCUCCCGUGUUGAUCCAGCCCGCCUUUUCAGAAGCUUUGCCUUCACACAGUCUGUCCGCCCGCUCUGUGGUGUCGAGCGCGGUCCUAAAUUCAGCCGGCUGAAAACCUCCAAACAGCCUACCCAGACUGCUCUAGGGCGUCCGCAUGGUCCUAAAGCACACCGAUGCCGUUUUUGGUAUCACGGUGCAAUGAUAAAACUGUGUGGGGGGGGGACAACAAUUACCCCCCCCCCCCCCAUCAUCCCCAGUGAAAGUUGUGCCCCUGGUGAGCAGUUUGGGUUGACGUAACAGUGGAGAGUUGGUUGUUAGCAGUUUGUACUGACUUAGUUGCUGACUGUGUUUUCCCCUGCUGACUGUGUUCUCCAACCCUGCUCACCGAGAACUGAGCACUUUGUUGAUGGCGUGUUUCCCAGAAUGCAUUAGUCUUCCAGUCUGACGGGACAAGCGAGAGUUGUUGUUCCCUGCUGCUAGAGAAUGAAUGUUCUGCACCGUCAUGGAAACACACAUCCAAACUUAGAGACUGACGAUGUAGAGGAAGGAGUGUGUGUAAUGCUGACCUCUGUCCUCUGUAGAACCUGUGGUUCCGGGUCAGGAGAACGCUGCAGAGCCACAAGCCACGCUGGUGUAGAGAACAUGAAGACUGGAACCUCUACCUGUUCUCCCCUCAGAACUCGUGAGUCACACAAAUACACACACACACAUGUACACGUACACGCACACACACAUACUUGUUGUCUCACCUUCUCAACUGUAUCACCAUCGCUCUGGAGAGGCCCGGCAUUCUGCCUCACAGCACCGUAAGACACUAGGGCUGGUGUUAUACCCUAUUUUACUAUAUACCAGUAUUGAUGCAUUUAACUUUACCUUCUAGAACCCUAUUUAUACUUUACCUUCUAGAACCCUAGUUAUACUUUACCUUCUAGAACCCUAUUUAUACUUUACCUUCUAGAACCCUAUUUAUACUUUACCUUCUAGAACCCUAUUUAUACUUUACCUUCUAGAACCCUAUUUUUACUUUACCUUCUAGAACCCUAUUUAUACUUUACCUUCUAGAACCCUAUUUUACUUUACCUUCUAGAACCCUAUUUUUACUUUACCUUCUAGAACCCUAUUUUUACUUUACCUUCUAGAACCCUGUUUUUGACUUUACCUUCUAGAACCCUAUUUAUACUUUACCUUCUAGAACCCUAUUUCAAUGUGGUUGGUUAGGCUUCAUUAUUAAUGCCAUUUCAGACUUGAAGUCGAUACAACAACUAUGAU